CUUCAUAUAUCUUGAUGAUAUCCUCUUUUUAGUUUUUAUUACUUUUCAUUCAAUGGAGAUGGUUAAAGACCAGCAGCUACAAAAUACAGGUUAGUUUCUUAAACACUGCUCGUUAAAGAGAAACUCUUGCAUCUUUUUAAGGGAGCGAUGAGUGGAACCUGCUUGGUUAUUCUGGAACAGAAAUAAACACUAAAGGAACAUAAUUCUCACUGAUUUCCAACAUCCUCUUCUUUUAUUGAUUGCUUAAGAAUCACUGUUUUUUUAAUCAUCACUUAAGAAUCACUGUUUCUUCUAAUACGAUUUAAUAUUAAGUUAGAUAUUAUGACAAACAGGUAUGGCGAGCCUCUUGGUGUUCCUUGUAAUUGGCUAACAACCUUGCCAUGUCCCAUUUCAAUAUCUAAUGGUGAAACUUGAAAAAAAGUUAGAGAUUAUUUGGUUGGAAACCUGUCUUUGGUUUUAUGUCCAUUUUCUUCUCAAUAAUUUAAUGGCAUAAACUAAACAAAGAUACGAGACUUAACUAUACUAUUUAGUAUUUGGGUUGGUGAUGUAUUUUCAGAUGUUUUUCGGUGCCUAGAAUAUCCUAGGAGUCACUUAAACGUGUAUAAAGGUAGCAAAGGUCAAAUUAAAAGUGUGUUAAAUUUUGGUGUGAUGUUGAGCGCCUUGAACGUCCUCCUUUUGUGCAAGCUUUGGGCUUGAGCGUCCCUUGAGCGCUUGUUUGCGUAAGGUAUAGUGCUGAGCGCCUCCUACACGUCCUAUUCCAGUGGAUUCUGGUGCCUGGGCGUCCCUUUUCAGGUUUUUGGUUUUCAAGUUUCUAGGUUGUUUUGUGAUUUUUAAUGCAUUGUUUUGUAUACCUUGAUGAAUGUGUAAUGGUCUCAUGUGAGUUUUUGAUGUGUUACUUGAAGGUAUAUGUUUAUAUGAAUAGAAAACGUGGAAAGGAAUUUCAAGGAGGAAUUUACUAUUGGUUUUUAAGUGUUAUUAUAAAUAUAAGAAGCUUGAUAUGAGGGUUAUCCCGACACUAAUAAUGUCUUCCUCGAACUAGGUUGGGCCAAAGCACGAAGAUGAAGCUAUGGAGGUGGAAUUGAUGUGAAAGCUAUGUGUAUAGUGGUGGGAUCACGAUUUUUGUGAGGUUUUGGUGAGUAUUUAUUGUAGGAUGAGGUGUUUGAUGGAUCUUCAGAGAGGUUAGGCCAACUCUAGAGAAGAGUAGCUAGAGAGACCUCAUGGGGUGCUCUAGCCUUGAAUUGAGACAAGAUAUGUUUACACACAUUUUGGCAUAAUAACAUUCAAAUUCGUCAAGUGAUUUUACAAGGAGGGAGACCCCUCUAUUUAUAAAGAAAAGUGUCUCUAAAGUAGACAAGAAACCCUAAAAAUUAUCCACUCUUAAAGUGAUGUGGCAAUCCACUUUUACAAAGUUUCUCCACUCUUAAAGUGUCAUGUGGCAAUCGACUUUUGUAAAGUUUUCUCUACUCUUAAAGUACCAUGUGACAAUCCACUUUUGCAAAGUUCUUCCACUCUUAGAGUGCCAUGUGACAAUCCAUUUUUGCAAAGUUUCUCCACUCUUAGAGUGAUAUAUGUGGCAAUCCACUUUAGCAAGAGUUUCUCCAUUUAGAAAAUGACAUGUGGUCACUUCCUUCUUAAGAAAACUCUUCACUAAGGUUUUGCCAUGUCCCAUGGUGGGACACACUCAUUUAAGCUAAUAUUACAAACCAUACAAUACUUGGUCUGAUAAUGCUAAUUCUUACCAUUAUCUAAGCAUCAUUUUAGUAGCAAAAUCAACUCCUUUCUAGCUUAUAACCUUGUUUUAUCCUCACGUUUAGUGUGUUUUCUAGUUUUCUUGUGUUUAUUUAGUAUAUGCUUGUUUUUACCUCUAAUCUCUAUGUUUGAGUGUGUGAAAUAAAGGAUUNNN
RNAcentral lists this long non-coding RNA (1903 nucleotides) under Vigna radiata. Its description in RNAcentral is "long non-coding RNA (VRAD_LNC007084)". Lineage: Eukaryota; Viridiplantae; Streptophyta; Magnoliopsida; Fabales; Fabaceae. The record is from RNAcentral.